UGAGGAAUAUUGGUCAAUGGGCGCAAGCCUGAACCAGCCAUCCCGCGUGCAGGAAGACGGCCCUAUGGGUUGUAAACUGCUUUUCCAGGGGGAGAAUUUUUCUGUCGUGACAGGAAUUGACGGUACCCUGGGAGUAAGCAUCGGCUAGCUCCGUGCCAGCAGCCGCGGUAAUACGGAGGAUGCGAGCGUUAUCCGGAUUUAUUGGGUUUAAAGGGUGCGUAGGCGGAUUGAUAAGUCAGUGGUGAAAACCUGCAGCUUAACUGUAGACUUGCCGUUGAUACUGUCAGUCUUGAGUGUGGUCAAGGUAGGCGGUAUGUGUAAUGUAGCGGUGAAAUGCUUAGAUAUUACACAGAACACCGAUUGCGAAGGCAGCUUACUGGGCCAUUACUGACGCUGAUGCACGAAAGCGUGGGGAUCGAACAG
RNAcentral lists this ribosomal RNA (423 nucleotides) under uncultured bacterium. RNAcentral's name for it is "bacterial SSU rRNA". It matches the Rfam family "Bacterial small subunit ribosomal RNA", at positions 355 to 775 of the family's 1533-position model. The record is from RNAcentral.